RNAcentral lists this ribosomal RNA (253 nucleotides) under uncultured bacterium. RNAcentral describes it as "partial 16S ribosomal RNA". It matches the Rfam family "Bacterial small subunit ribosomal RNA", at positions 524 to 776 of the family's 1533-position model. The record is from RNAcentral.
UACGGAGGGUGCAAGCGUUAUCCGGAUUCACUGGGUUUAAAGGGUGCGUAGGCGGCUAAAUAAGUCAGUGGUGAAAGCCCGCAGCUCAACUGCGGAAUUGCCAUUGAAACUGUCUAGCUUGAAUCUGGUUGAAGUGGGCGGAAUACACCAUGUAGCGGUGAAAUGCUUAGAUAUGUUUUAGAACACCGAUUGCGAAGGCAGCUCACUAAGCCAAUAUUGACGCUGAGGCACGAAAGCGUGGGUAGCAAACAGG